GCAUCUAAGAGCAUGCUGCUCUUUUUUAGGACUGAUAUCUGGGAGGCAGUACCUGUGUGAUUUUGUACUGCAAGCUCAGUUUAUCACCUGUGACAGGGACAUUAUUUCAAUGUUUGCGAUGGUCUUUGUCAGUAGCUGUGACCAUAUUUUUCAUAGAGAGUUUUGUUUCAGUUCCUGGCGUUACUGCAGCCAAUUGAAUAUAGAAUACAAUUCCCAGUUGUCUUGAAAGCACCAUAAAUCCAGAGAAUGUCAGACUUUGAUGACCAAGUUUGAUGAUUUGCCCACGAAGGACCGCCAUACCACCUUCCUGUUCAAGUGAGCACAGCACAACAAGAAUACUGCCCCUGGGCACUGUCCCUUUUGUGGCCAGGAGGGGCACCAGCAUCCCAACCUGGGGUUCACUAGAGCAAAGGGGCGGCCCCUUGACCUACCGUCUCCCAGGGCCGGUGGUUCGUGGUCCCCGCUACCUAUGCCAUCAGGUCCCUACUGGACUCCCAACGUUGUGGGGGUAGGCUUCAGUACCUGGUGGACUGAGAAUGGUAUGUCCCAGAGGAGCGCUGUUGGGUUGCGGCGGCCGAUAUCCUGAACCCCAACAUUAUCUGCCAUUUCCAUCUCCGCCGGCCCGCUCCUCGCCCUUGGGGCCAUCCUGUGUCUGGAGCCGAGCAUCGGAGAUGGGAAGGGAGGGUACUGUCACGCCUACUCUGGUUCCCCCUCUCGCUCAAUGUCGCCGGUCUACUAACCACCGGUCCUGGCAACCCAUAUUAUGCACAUCUGGCAACCAUCAUUACGAACACCUGCUCCCCAUCGUUAUGCACACCUGGACUUCAUCAUUACCUUGAUUAGUUCCCCUUUAUUUAGCCCUCAAUAGCCUCAGUCUUCAGGCAGUAUUGGUUUUGUUUACGUUCAGUACGCUACUCCUGUUUUGUUUAUCUGCAUGUUUCUUAUUAAUAAACGCACCGUCUGCACCUG
Molecule: long non-coding RNA, 969 nt
Organism: Oncorhynchus tshawytscha (Chinook salmon)
Lineage: Eukaryota; Metazoa; Chordata; Actinopteri; Salmoniformes; Salmonidae
Source: Ensembl